This is a long non-coding RNA of Balaenoptera ricei (Rice's whale), 2849 nucleotides long. RefSeq lists it as uncharacterized. The record is from RefSeq and is a predicted model, not a curated record. The transcript has 4 exons. NCBI's taxonomy places the organism in Eukaryota, Metazoa, Chordata, Mammalia, Artiodactyla, Balaenopteridae.
GUCUGGGUCUAUUUUCUUCACAGAAUUCCUCUUGAAGAAAGUGAGAGCGGGACGAUCAGAGAGGAAGAUGCCCUGAGGAGGGAAGACAAAAAGCUGGACCAGAGUCCAAAUAUAAAGCAAGUUAAAAUAUGACAUGAACUUUGAGCGUUUGAUGGUGUUUGGAAGAAGAGAGCUUAUUCGUCUCUGUGCUCAGACUCUGAGCUGCCCGGGUACAGAAUCACACUUCACUCCGGGGUUCCAGGUUUCAUUUCUUGGACCCUUGGUGACGUGCCUGUCCCCAGCCCCGCCCCACCGCAGCCCCGCGGGCGUGGUUUCCGCACGGACCGCUCUGCCGCCGUCUUCGCCCUGCGUCAGGAGACGUCUGAAACAACGCUCGGCUCCUCUUGCCUGUUUCUUUCCUGCUGUUACUGUAGAGUCACCGUGUCUGUGUUUUAAAGGGGACGUUUGACACCAUCCCGCGCUGCCCGGACCUCCUGCCUGAAGCUCAGGGCUUCCCCGUCGAGCCCCUCCAGGGAAGGGCAGCAGGCCUCAGUCCCGCUGCAGGUGCAGGAGCGUCUGUGAGGCCACCUCAGACCUUCAGAGCUGCCCGUGCAUCAUCUCGACUACCUCCCUCCCCACGAGGCCCGGCCUCGCUCAUCCACACAUACAAGGGGGCGGCUGACACCUGCUCUGCAGGUGGGCCCCAGGGUGCGCCUGCCCGCCUGGCCCGCACGCUGACCACAGCCCUGCGGUGCCAGGGCUUCUGCAUCAGGAAGGCCCGAGGGCAGGUUCAGAACCUGCUCCGGACACGUGACACUCGAGAGCCUGACCAAAUCUACAGACGCUCCACCUGUACAUGGAUCCCAGAGGCGCUGCCGGUGGGUCCACGACUCCCAGGACCCUCACCACUUCCACCCCAGGACCUGGUGGAGGCAAGGCUGAGAGAAUGGCUGAGUGCUGUGCAGAAAUCCAAGAGACAAGUCACCAGGUUUUGGAAAUGACGUGCUCUCCACGCUAACGGCGUGCGGUCUAGGAAGACCUGAUUUAUCCACCACUUCUGUGAAUAGGAACCAUAACUGUUAAAUGCAUUUCUUUCUGAUUUUUGCUCCUGUCAUGAGUAUAAAAGUAAUGAAAGUUAUGUUAAAAUAAGCACUCUCGUAGACGUGACUAUGUAAUUAGACACUUCAGAAUAUGCUCUGGAACCCUACAGUCGAGAAAUUACUCUAAAGCCAGUGAUUCUCUGGCGAAUGCCGUGUAACAAGAAGAGAAAGUGGAUACGUACGGUUUCCUUCAUCUGAAUUUGAUUGAUCUUGAUCCGAAACAGCUUGUGCUUGAAUUCUCCAUUGAAGAUGAACUUGUCUCCGUCUUCGACCUCCCUUCCUUUGGGGCUUUUGACCAGGACGCGCGCUUUCCCGCAGGCCAGGGACUGCAACGUCCUCCGCAGCUCGCCGUCCUCUGAGCGGGAGAAUGCGCGCAGGUCAGGACCCCGAGCAGCCACGACCUCGGGGGCGACCCGCAGAGCCCGCGUCUCCAUCUCCUCUUCCCCAGAAGCCGCCCGCUGCUGAGGAGGCGUGCCUACCUAUCCCAGUGGCCAUCUUUAUGUCCUCAAAGCUGAAUCCGUCCCCUUCGUUGAACAUGAGAAGCACCAGCGUCUGGAACAGCGACACCUGGAACUCCUUCUUUCCCUUAAAGAGAAGGACAGCUCACAUGGGAAGCUGUGUUUGCACACUCCGCAGACCUUUUUAAGAGGCUAAUCUUUGCUCUCAAACUUCGUGUGUGCGGGGAAUGGUAAGAAGUUACUAAUUAAACACCAAAUAAGAAAAAAUUAAGUUACUAGUUAUACAAGAAUAAAAUGACUCAGGAUUGCACUUAAUUCUUCUCUUGAAACACUCUGGACAGAGCACGAGAAGGCACGGUGACGAGGCCUGGAUGGAGGGGAAGCUGGCAGGAGGCGCGGCCGAUCCCGCAUGGAGAGAACAAGGACCACCGGGAACAGGCGCGCACGCCACACCUCGCUCGACUGCAGGUCUGGGGGUCUGUCGGCUCCCUUUCCAAGCACCUGCUCCUUCCGUGCCCGUGUCCCAUGUCAGUGACUCAGUAUUUCAAACCCUCCACCAGAAAAGGAUUAGGACUUGCUGAAGGCUCACAUGACAGUUAGCAUUUUCUUGGCAAUGAAGUAUUUUUAAAUUAAGGUAUAUAAUGGCUUCUCAGACGUAGCACUGUCACACACUCAAAGCCAUGUGACCCGCCUUAUUGCGAUACUCCCUCCACUGCGGCAGCUGACAUGGGCCCCACCUCCUAUCACCCAGCCCCUGCCACGGACACUCGCCACGUGGUCACUGUGGGGAGGGGCACCCCGUGCAAGCGCUUGCUCUGGGCCCAGCCGGGGGUGUGGACAGUAAGGGGACCGUGGGAUUUAACUCUCACGACACCUUAAAGAACCGUAUGUGAGGACUUCCCUGGUGGCGCAGUGGUUAAGAGUCUGCCUGCCAAUGCAGAGGACACAGGUUCGAGCCCUGGUCCGGGAAGAUCCCACAUGCCGCGGAGCAACUAACCCUGUGCGCCACAACUACUGAGCCUGCACUCUAGAGCCCGCAAGCCACAACUACUGAACCAAUGAGCCACAACUAAUGAAGCCCGCGCGCCUAGAGCCCGUGCUCCACAACAAGAAAAGCCACGGCAAUGAGAAGCCCGCGCACCGCAACGAAGAGUAGCCCCCGCUCGCCGCAACUAGAGAAAGCCCGCAUGCAGCAACGAAGACCCAACGCAGCCAAAAAUGAAACAAAUAAAUCAAUUUAUUAAAAAAAAAAAAGAAAAAACAAGAACUAUACGUAGUGUGUGUGGUUUUGUGUAUAUGACCCUGUACAAUA